GACCUUAGAUGAAAGGGACAUAUAAUCACACAUAAAACUUUAUAGAUCAUCAAUUAAAAUCAAAGGUACAUUAAUGUAUUCAAUUAUUUAAAAAUUCAAUAAUUUAAUUUUUUUUCCACAUCUCCGCUUCUACACCAUUGUUCUAAUUGUUUAAGUUCUCGUUGAAUAAUAGUGUUAAUCACACUAUUAAUUGUAAAAAAAAUGUGUUUUAGUUUAUGAGUAUGAAUAUGGGAUGUGUUAUUUUUUGAUUUCCAUCGAUUGCAAGUU
This 267-nucleotide long non-coding RNA is filed under the name Lathyrus oleraceus (garden pea). RNAcentral's name for it is "Pisum sativum (pea) long non-coding RNA (PSAT_LNC003973)". The record is from RNAcentral. Lineage: Eukaryota; Viridiplantae; Streptophyta; Magnoliopsida; Fabales; Fabaceae.